AUAUAACUAGGCGGAGGAAAAGAAACUAACCAGGAUUCCCUUAGUAACGGCGAGUGAAGCGGGAAAAGCUCAGAGUGAAAAGCUUCGGCAUUGUGCUCUGGAGAAGUCUAAUCAGCUCAAUUCGUGGGGCAAAUCUCUUGGAAUAGAGUGCCAUGGAGGGUGAUAGCCCCGUUUAUCCCUGCGAUGUCGAGUGUACGGUAGAUUUUCAACGAGUCGAGUUGUUUGGGAUUGCAGCUCUAAGUGGGUGGUAAAUUCCAUCUAAAGCUAAAUAUUGGUGGGAGACCGAUAGCGCACAAGUA
RNAcentral lists this ribosomal RNA (299 nucleotides) under uncultured Hydrurus sp. Its description in RNAcentral is "partial large subunit ribosomal RNA". It matches the Rfam family "Eukaryotic large subunit ribosomal RNA", at positions 40 to 350 of the family's 3401-position model. Lineage: Eukaryota; Chrysophyceae; Hydrurales. The record is from RNAcentral.